GACGAACGCUGGCGGCGUGCUUAACACAUGCAAGUCGAACGGUGAAGCGCCUUCCUUUUUGGUGGGUGUGGAUGAGUGGCGAACGGGUGAGUAACACGUGAGUAACCUGCCCCCUUCUUCUGGAUAACCGCAUGAAAGUGUGGCUAAUACGGGAUAUUCUGGGUCUGUCGCAUGAUGGGUCUGGGAAAGAUAUUGUUUCGGUGGGGGAUGGGCUCGCGGCCUAUCAGCUUGUUGGUGGGGUGAUGGCCUACCAAGGCGGUGACGGGUAGCCGGCCUGAGAGGGUGGACGGUCACACUGGGACUGAGACACGGCCCAGACUCCUACGGGAGGCAGCAGUGGGGAAUAGUGCACAAUGGGCGAAAGCCUGAUGCAGCGACGCCGCGUGAGGGAUGGAGGCCUUCGGGUUGUGAACCUCUUUCGCCAGUGAAGCAGGCCUGCCUCGUUUGUGGGUGGGUUGACGGUAGCUGGAUAAGAAGCGCCGGCUAACUACGUG
Molecule: ribosomal RNA, 494 nt
Filed under: uncultured bacterium
Lineage: Bacteria
Description: partial 16S ribosomal RNA
Rfam family: Bacterial small subunit ribosomal RNA
Source: RNAcentral